This 108-nucleotide non-coding RNA is filed under the name Lottia gigantea (owl limpet). The record is from RNAcentral. Lineage: Eukaryota; Metazoa; Mollusca; Gastropoda; Lottiidae.
GCUGGGAGUUGUGGCGUGCUCCUGUAAUCCAGCUACUUGGAGGCUUGGUGUGGAGAACGGUUUGAGGGCGGGGGUUCUGCUCUCAGUAAUUUUUCAGUUAAAAUCAUU